RNAcentral lists this ribosomal RNA (301 nucleotides) under uncultured bacterium. RNAcentral's name for it is "partial 16S ribosomal RNA". It matches the Rfam family "Bacterial small subunit ribosomal RNA", at positions 509 to 807 of the family's 1533-position model. The record is from RNAcentral.
CAGCAGCCGCGGUAAUACAGAGGGUGCGAGCGUUAAUCGGAUUUACUGGGCGUAAAGCGUGCGUAGGCGGCUUCUUAAGUCGGAUGUGAAAUCCCUGAGCUUAACUUAGGAAUUGCAUUCGAUACUGGGAAGCUAGAGUAUGGGAGAGGAUGGUAGAAUUCCAGGUGUAGCGGUGAAAUGCGUAGAGAUCUGGAGGAAUACCGGUGGCGAAGGCGGCCCCCUGGACAAAGACUGACGCUCAGGUGCGAAAGCGUGGGGAGCAAACAGGAUUAGAUACCCCUGUAGUCCCUGUCUCUUAUAC